GGAGACGUGGCCGAGUGGUCGAAGGCACACCCCUGCUAAGGGUGCAUACCGGCAACGGUAUCGAGGGUUCGAAUCCCUUCGUCUCCGCCA
RNAcentral lists this transfer RNA (90 nucleotides) under Loktanella fryxellensis. Its description in RNAcentral is "tRNA_Ser_GCT". It matches the Rfam family "tRNA". Rfam says of the family: Transfer RNA (tRNA) molecules are approximately 80 nucleotides in length. Their secondary structure includes four short double-helical elements and three loops (D, anti-codon, and T loops). The record is from RNAcentral. Lineage: Bacteria; Pseudomonadati; Pseudomonadota; Alphaproteobacteria; Rhodobacterales; Roseobacteraceae.